RNAcentral lists this microRNA (23 nucleotides) under Columba livia (rock pigeon). RNAcentral's name for it is "cli-miR-1b-5p". Its record names the gene cli-miR-1b-5p. Lineage: Eukaryota; Metazoa; Chordata; Aves; Columbiformes; Columbidae. The record is from miRBase by way of RNAcentral.
UACAUACUUCUUCAUAUACCCAU